UCAAUUUUUAUGAUUCUUUCAGUGUUAAAGAAAAUGGAUUUUUACCUGAAUAAAUUGCAUGUAUAGAUAUGUAGAUGAUGAACUCAACAAGCGGAUCUUUCAAGGUUAAUUCACUUUGCACAUUUUACUAAAUAGAUGCAACGGCAUAGCACCUUCAAUAUCAUGCUUGCACUCACAUGUUGUUCCAACAGCACCAUGAAUGCUGCCCAGAAUUGCCAUGCCUUCAGCUUUUGCUAUAAGUUCCUAUGCUGCUCCUUUUCAGGUGACUUUUCAUGCGAUUUCUACUUCUAAAAAUUAGAAAAUACCUUCAGAUCAAAGCAGCGGAUUUGUAGAUGUUUGGGAAUUGGUGUUACUCCAUCUCCAUCCGGACAACGGUCUUUGGUCACUGAUUCUGAGCUUUCAGGUCCUAGAUGAGAAGGUAAGGAUGUACUUGAACAUUAUGAGAAGACCCAGUUCCAUCACCUCAGAAGCGAGAAGUUAACCAUUUAAUAUCAUUGGUUCUAAAAUUUGUUUAAGAAAAAUGUUCAUUCUGCUAUUAGGACCACGAUUAUGUGUCAAUUGUAGAUUCUUAAUUGCUUGGAAUUAUUUUAUAUGUUUGGUUCCUUCGGUUCAUAUUUAUUCAGCAAAAAAAUAUUUUCAAGAUUGGUCCAUUUGAGGAUCAAACUUCG
Non-coding RNA from Triticum urartu, 668 nucleotides. Lineage: Eukaryota; Viridiplantae; Streptophyta; Magnoliopsida; Poales; Poaceae. The record is from RefSeq and is a predicted model, not a curated record.